GCCUUGUUAGCUUAGUCGGUUGAGCAUUAGACUUGUAUAGUUGCUCCUCCUGGGUAAGACUGUUAGGGUUGCAAGUUCGAAUCUUCCCUGAGGCA
Hysterangium stoloniferum is the source of this 95-nucleotide non-coding RNA. NCBI's taxonomy places the organism in Eukaryota, Fungi, Basidiomycota, Agaricomycetes, Hysterangiales, Hysterangiaceae. The record is from the annotation of a GenBank genome assembly.